GGGAGGUACUGGUACAGAGUCAAUGUGGAGGCUAUAUACAGGGAGGUACUGGUACAGAGUCAAUGUGGAGGCUAUAUACAGGGAGGUACUGGUACAGAGUCAAUGUGGAGGCUAUAUGCAGGGAGGUACUGGUACAGAGUCAAUGUGGAGGCUAUAUGCAGGGAGGUACUGGUACAGAGUCAAUGUGAAGGCUAUAUACAGGGAGGUACUGGUACAGAGUCAAUGUGGAGGCUAUAUGCAGGGAGGUACUGGUACAGAGUCAAUGUGGAGGCUAUAUACAGGGAGGUACCGGUACAGAGUCAAUGUGGAGGCUAUAUACAGGGAGGUACCGGUACAGAGUCAGUGUGGAGGCUAUAUACAGG
Long non-coding RNA from Oncorhynchus tshawytscha (Chinook salmon), 362 nucleotides. The record is from Ensembl. NCBI's taxonomy places the organism in Eukaryota, Metazoa, Chordata, Actinopteri, Salmoniformes, Salmonidae.